RNAcentral lists this ribosomal RNA (520 nucleotides) under uncultured bacterium. RNAcentral's name for it is "partial 16S ribosomal RNA". It matches the Rfam family "Bacterial small subunit ribosomal RNA", at positions 29 to 523 of the family's 1533-position model. The record is from RNAcentral.
AACAAACGCUGGCGGCGUGCAUAACACAUGCAAGUCUGACGGGAAAGUUGGCUUCGGCUGGCGAGUACCGUGGCGAACGGGUGAGUAACACGUGGGUAAUCAAACCUUGAGUUCGGGAUAACCUUGCGAAAGCGGGGCUAAUACCGGAUAAGACCACGCCCACCACGGUGGGUGUGGUAAAAGGUGGCCUCUUCUUGAAAGCUGUCACUUGAGGAUGAGCCCGCGGCCUAUUAGCUAGUUGGUGGGGUAAUGGCCCACCAAGGCGACGAUGGGUAGCCGGCCUGAGAGGGUGUACGGCCACACUGGCACUGAGACACGGGCCAGACUCCCACGGGAGGCAGCAGUGGGGAAUUUUGGACAAUGGGGGAAACCCUGAUCCAGCAAUGCCGCGUGUGUGAAGAAGGCCUUCGGGUUGUAAAGCACUUUUGUCAGGAACGAAACGGUGGGGGCUAAUACCUCCUGCUAAUGACGGUACCUGAAGAAUAAGCACCGGCUAACUACGUGCCAGCCGCCGCGGUAA